RNAcentral lists this ribosomal RNA (361 nucleotides) under Draculoides vinei. RNAcentral's name for it is "partial small subunit ribosomal RNA". The record is from RNAcentral. Lineage: Eukaryota; Metazoa; Arthropoda; Arachnida; Schizomida; Hubbardiidae.
UUAAUGAAAAGUAUUAUCAAGAUUUUAUUUGAUUUUCAUAUAUGAAUUUUAGAAGUAUUGGCGGUAUUUGGUUAAAUUCUGAGGAACUUGUCUAUUUAAUUUGAUAUUACUCAUUAAAUUUUAUCUAUAAUUUUUUUUUAUGUAUUGCUGUUUAAUUUAUUAUUUAUUAUUUAAAUAAAUGGGGUUAAUUUUAAAAUAAAAAAUUCAAGUCAAAAUGUAGAUUUUUAUAGGUUUAGAUGAGUUACUUUUAUAUUGUAAUAUGAAACUGUAAAGUUAGUUGAAAUGUCUAAUGAAAUAUGAAGGUUGGAUUAGGGAGUAAAAAAGAAAUAAUUAGUUUUUUUGAUAUUUUAUAUCAAUAUGU